GAUCCAUGUCUCCAGUUGUCAUCACACGGCACCGUCAUCGUCUUCCUUCUUCUCCUGUGUCGGCCAAAACCACAUUAAGCUACUGCUUAUAGAGAAGCUAAGAAUACAGUACAAAACUAUUCUGUGGAAUUGAAAGCAUCAUCAUUUAUGGCCAUGAACCAAGCGGCUGUGGUGAAGGUGGUUCUGGGGUUCAUGGCUCUGUGCUUGGCUGGCUACAUAUUGGGUCCUCCUCUCUACUGGCAUUUCAAGGAGGGCUUAGACGCCGUUAGUCACUCUUCCUCCGCUUGCUCUCCUUGCGUUUGUGAUUGCUCUUCUCAGCCUCUUCUCUCCAUCCCUCA
Molecule: unclassified non-coding RNA, 338 nt
Filed under: Hevea brasiliensis (rubber tree)
Lineage: Eukaryota; Viridiplantae; Streptophyta; Magnoliopsida; Malpighiales; Euphorbiaceae
Source: RNAcentral